This 823-nucleotide small RNA is filed under the name Pan troglodytes (chimpanzee). RNAcentral describes it as "retained intron". The record is from RNAcentral. Lineage: Eukaryota; Metazoa; Chordata; Mammalia; Primates; Hominidae.
GCGCAGACCCCGAGCGCGGCCGCGGACGAAGAUGGCGACCGCCAUGUACUUGGAGCACUAUCUGGACAGUAUCGAGAACCUUCCCUGCGAACUUCAGAGGAACUUCCAGCUGAUGCGAGAGCUGGACCAGAGGACGGAAGAUAAGAAAGCAGAGAUUGACAUCCUGGCUGCAGAGUACAUCUCCACGGUGAAGACGCUGUCUCCAGACCAGCGCGUGGAGCGCCUGCAGAAGAUCCAGAACGCCUACAGCAAGUGCAAGGAAUACAGUGACGACAAAGUGCAGCUGGCCAUGCAGACCUACGAGAUGGUGGAUAAACACAUUCGAAGGCUUGAUGCAGACCUGGCGCGCUUUGAGGCAGAUCUGAAGGACAAGAUGGAGGGCAGUGAUUUUGAAAGCUCCGGAGGGCGAGGGUUAAAAAAAGGCCGGGGUCAGAAAGAAAAAAGAGGGUCCCGGGGCCGAGGCAGGAGGACAUCAGAGGAAGACACACCAAAGAAAAAGAAGCACAAAGGAGGGUAAGAGGCUUUCCCCUCUUUUUCCCAAAAGAACGAAUACCCAUAGCCUGUAUCCCGGAUGUAGGAACACUGAUGGAAGCUGACCUGAGUGAAGUGCACACCGUGUGCGGGGCGGUAUUCUGAUUCUUACGCUGUACGCCUGUCGUCAGCCCGUCCUCCCCGCAGCCUUUGAGGGGGUGCCGUUGUCAGGGGCAUUUUCAGUGUCGCAGGGACCUGCCCAGGCUUUAGGGCUGCUGUGGUGCAGCUGGGCCUGCACCUGGAGUCUGACUCCAGUGCCUGUCCUCUUAGCCACAUUGUGUGCUGCCCCACU